RNAcentral lists this long non-coding RNA (1922 nucleotides) under Setaria italica (foxtail millet). Its description in RNAcentral is "long non-coding RNA (SITA_LNC005158)". Lineage: Eukaryota; Viridiplantae; Streptophyta; Magnoliopsida; Poales; Poaceae. The record is from RNAcentral.
UAUAGGCUAGUCAUGUGCUAAAAGUGAGAGGAGAGAGGGGGAUUAGAGAGUGAUUACUCUUUUCUCUUAAUUUCUUCAUCUUUAGUGGGUGGAUGAAGGGAGGAGGCUAGUCCUCAUCUUGUAUAGAAGAUGUUCUCGUGAUUUAGCUUUGUUUGUUGUCUCAAAUCGUGCUAAAUCUUUGAUUCCCGAGCGUUUUUCUUUUUCCCUAUUUUCGGAACUAUUUUUGGGGAAUUUUCGUUCAUCAUGUUUGAGCCCGAAUCUCGUGAGAUUGGUUGAAGGGAAAUGUUGCUAGAACCUUGGAGAGCAUCUUUGAUAUGAUCCCCUUUUCAAAUCCCUCACGAAUCCGGCUUGAUUUUGAGUUUUUCCCAAAUCGUGUUCUUGAGUUAGGGUUUCGGUUUUCUCCAAAAUUAGUGAUGAAUUAUUGAGCUUUUCAGGAUUAGUUUCAUGGAUCUAUUUGCCCUUGGGGUAUUGCAUCCUUGUUUCAGAUUUCAUCUCGAUCCGCGAAGUAUAGGAAGAGAUCUUACGAAUUGAAGUUUGGUUCUAGUUCUUGGUGUUCUUCGUUUUCUUUCUGUUCUCCAGGUCGAUCCGACGAACCGGUGGCGGCGCACGCACGGAGCCGCGUGCGAGCCUGGCCAGCAGGCCGAGGGAGCACAGCAGGCCCACAAGCCAGCGGCAGGUCGCAGUCCACCGGGAGGAGCAAGCUGAACCAGCCCACACCGCAACCCAGGCCUGCUGCCACGCACGGCCCAGGAGGAUUCAACCGGCAGGCGGGCCGUGAAGCAGCAGCCUAGCAGGAGCAGAUCAAGGCUAGCAGCCCAUCCGAUCAGCUGUAGGAAGCCAGCUUUUCGACCCAGCUCGUGAAGCUCAGUUUGCAAGCCAGCAGGCCAACAAGUUGCGGCCCAAGCUUCCCUGCAGGCCUAGCACCAGAUUAGCUAGCGUAGCAAAGCAAGUGGUCCACUGUAAGCAAUUCUUUUGUGCGAGUCAUUUAUUUUAAUACAUUGCUAAUUAAUUGUUGUCUGGUUGUUUAGAUAUUUAAUUAGCACCUUCCUUUGCUAAUCCUCGUAUGUUAGAAAAGUAUCUUUAUUUAAUAGUUGCAUGAUCAGAUAAAGUGAGGUUUGCUUGUGGUCAGUAGUGUCUUUGCUUAAUCUCAUUUGCGCAAAGUUGAUGGAGUCGAUUCAUGAUUUGUUUCCGCUGUGAAUUGAAUAUUUCUUAUCGUUCCUAGGGUGAGCCUGUCACGAGUUGACUUGCGUCAUCUUGACGAUACAACGCGCAGUGUGCUUUGGGGUUGCGUUUGGGACAUAGGCCUUGUUCUUGUUAAGAAUUUUUAUAGGCUCCCAUUCACCCCCCCUCUGGUCGCCCUUUCGGUCCUUCACUUCAGCAAUCAGGUAGGUGACCAUUCCCAUUGACGUGGUAAGCAAAUUUUUCACAACGUAGCUUUUACAACUCAGGGUCUGCAAAGGCUGAAGAAUCUUAUUAGGAAGAGGAGGCAUCGAGAGUGAUGGGCUCACUUCCUCUCCUAGUAGUUUUGCGGCAAAUAUGGGAACAGCUGCUGCUUUUCAUUGCGUGCCGUCUGAUGGAGAACCAGAGGCGAGAGGCACCAAGGCUGCUGCAGCAUGAAGAGGCAGAUCCGGAUGAAGAGGAGGACGCUGAGCGCAACGCCUGAUUAGAGCUGGUCAAGAUGUAAAAAGCUCUUUUCCUGGAGAGGAUGAGAGGGAGUCUGAAGUUUGCUACUACUUGUCUAAUACUCUGUAGUUGCUUCCGAGGCGGACUCUUAAUCUGAAAACAUUAGUUUCCUCUCUACGCGAGGUCGUUUGACUAGGUGUUUUUAGCUCGAACCAGGUGAGAUCACUUAGGCGCUCCGUUUUCUCCUCCUACUGUGAUGUAACUAAACUCUGAAAUUUCUGUUCAUGCAAUGGGAAUGG